This 27-nucleotide small RNA is filed under the name Bombyx mori (domestic silkworm). RNAcentral describes it as "ovarian small RNA-19621". Lineage: Eukaryota; Metazoa; Arthropoda; Insecta; Lepidoptera; Bombycidae. The record is from RNAcentral.
UAAUAUUGACGAGUAGCGGUCAGUGCU